RNAcentral lists this transfer RNA (87 nucleotides) under Rhodospirillaceae bacterium. Its description in RNAcentral is "tRNA-Leu". It matches the Rfam family "tRNA". From Rfam's summary of the family: Transfer RNA (tRNA) molecules are approximately 80 nucleotides in length. Lineage: Bacteria; Pseudomonadati; Pseudomonadota; Alphaproteobacteria; Rhodospirillales; Rhodospirillaceae. The record is from RNAcentral.
GCGGGCGUGGUGAAAUUGGUAAACACAAGGGACUUAAAAUCCCUCGGCCUUAUGGCCUUGCCGGUUCAAGUCCGGCCGCCCGCACCA